Molecule: ribosomal RNA, 253 nt
Filed under: uncultured prokaryote
Description: partial 16S ribosomal RNA
Rfam family: Bacterial small subunit ribosomal RNA
Source: RNAcentral
UGCGAAGGUGGCAAGCGUUACUCGGAAUUACUAGGCGUAAAGGGCAGGUAGGUGGUUCGGUAAGUCUGUUGUGUCAGCUCCCGGCUUAACUGGGAGAGGUCAACGGAAACUACCGGGCUUGAGUAUAGGAGAGGGUACUGGAAUUCCCGGUGUAGCGGUGAAAUGCGCAGAUAUCGGGAGGAACACCAAUGGCGAAAGCAGGCACCUGGACUAUUACUGACACUCAGCUGCGAAAGCUAGGGGAGCAAACAGG